This 30-nucleotide non-coding RNA is filed under the name Mus musculus (house mouse). Lineage: Eukaryota; Metazoa; Chordata; Mammalia; Rodentia; Muridae. The record is from RNAcentral.
UCUCAGAAAGAGGAAAGCCAUGUUAAGAGA